Molecule: small RNA, 31 nt
Filed under: Arabidopsis thaliana (thale cress)
Lineage: Eukaryota; Viridiplantae; Streptophyta; Magnoliopsida; Brassicales; Brassicaceae
Description: ATSL137260
Source: RNAcentral
AACAAAGUCGUUGUAGUAUAGUGGUAAGUAU